Molecule: ribosomal RNA, 253 nt
Filed under: uncultured bacterium
Lineage: Bacteria
Description: partial 16S ribosomal RNA
Rfam family: Bacterial small subunit ribosomal RNA
Source: RNAcentral
UACGUAGGGUGCAAGCGUUAAUCGGAAUUACUGGGCGUAAAGCGUGCGCAGGCGGUGAUGUAAGACAGAUGUGAAAUCCCCGGGCUCAACCUGGGAACUGCAUUUGUGACUGCAUCGCUGGAGUGCGGCAGAGGGGGGUGGAAUUCCCAGUGUAGCGGUGAAAUGCGUAGAUAUUGGGAGGAACACCGGUGGCGAAGGCGGCCCCCUGGACCGGUACUGACGCUGAGGCGCGAAAGCGUGGGUAGCAAACGGG